This 253-nucleotide ribosomal RNA is filed under the name uncultured bacterium. RNAcentral's name for it is "partial 16S ribosomal RNA". It matches the Rfam family "Bacterial small subunit ribosomal RNA", at positions 524 to 776 of the family's 1533-position model. The record is from RNAcentral.
UACGAAGGGGGCUAGCGUUGCUCGGAAUCACUGGGCGUAAAGGGUGCGUAGGCGGUUCGUUAUGUCGGAUGUGAAAGCCCUUGGCUUAACCGAGGAAGUGCAUCCGAAACUGGCGAGCUAGAGUACGAAAGAGGAUCGCGGAAUUCCCGGUGUAGAGGUGAAAUUCGUAGAUAUCGGGAGGAACACCGGUGGCGAAGGCGGCGAUCUGGGUCGAUACUGACGCUGAGGUGCGAAAGCGUGGGGAGCAAACAGG